Molecule: ribosomal RNA, 739 nt
Filed under: eukaryote SCGC AAA074-J07
Lineage: Eukaryota
Description: bacterial SSU rRNA
Rfam family: Bacterial small subunit ribosomal RNA
Source: RNAcentral
AUUCUAGUGGCGAACGGGUGCGUAACACGUGAGAAUCUGCCUUUAGGAAAAGGAUAACUACUAGAAAUAGUAGCUAAUACUUUAUAUGCCUUAGGGUGAAAGAAGCAAUUCGCCUAAAGAGGAGCUCGCGUCUGAUUAGCUAGUUGGUAGGGUAAGAGCCUACCAAGGCGACGAUCAGUAGCUGGUUUGAGAGGAUGAUCAGCCACAUUGGAACUGAGACACGGUCCAGACUCCUACGGGAGGCAGCAGUAAGGAAUAUUCUACAAUGGGCGAAAGCCUGAUAGAGCAAUACCGCGUGAGGGACGAAUGCCUACGGGUUGUAAACCUCUUUUCUCAAGGAGGAAGAACUGACGUUACUUGAGGAAUAAGCAUCGGCUAACCCUGUGCCAGCAGCCGCGGUAAUACAGGGGAUGCAAGUUUUAUUCGGAAUUAUUGGGCGUAAAGCGUCUGCAGGUUGACAUAAAAGUCUUUUGUUAAAUAUCAGAGCUCAACUCGGAAUCUGCAAAAGAUACUAUAUGUCUUGAGUAUGGUAGAGGUAAGGGGAAUUUCCAGUGGAGCGGUGAAAUGCGUAGAUAUUGGAAAGAACACCGAUAGCGAAGGCACCUUACUGGGCCAUUACUGACACUCAGAGACGAAAGCUAGGGGAGCAAACGGGAUUAGAUACCCCGGUAGUCCUAGCCGUAAACGAUGGAUACUAGAUGUUGUAUACUUUAUUGUAAACAGUGUCGUAGCUAACGCG